UGGGGAAUAUUGCACAAUGGGCGCAAGCCUGAUGCAGCCAUGCCGCGUGUAUGAAGAAGGCCUUCGGUUUGUAAAGUACUUUCAGCGGGGAGGAAGGGAGUAAAGUUAAUACCUUUGCUCAUUGACGUUACCCGCAGAAGAAGCACCGGCUAACUCCGUGCCAGCAGCCGCGGUAAUACGGAGGGUGCAAGCGUUAAUCGGAAUUACUGGGCGUAAAGCGCACGCAGGCGGUUUGUUAAGUCAGAUGUGAAAUCCCCGGGCUCAACCUGGGAACUGCAUCUGAUACUGGCAAGCUUGAGUCGCGUAGAGGGGGGUAGAAUUCCAGGUGUAGCGGUGAAAUGCGUAGAGAUCUGGAGGAAUACCGGUGGCGAAGGCGGCCCCCUGGACGAAGACUGACGCUCAGGUGCGAAAGCGUGGGGAGCAAACAGG
Molecule: ribosomal RNA, 429 nt
Filed under: Chloroflexota bacterium
Lineage: Bacteria; Bacillati; Chloroflexota
Description: Chloroflexi bacterium partial 16S ribosomal RNA
Rfam family: Bacterial small subunit ribosomal RNA
Source: RNAcentral